AUGCAGUCGAACGGUGAUAGCAAUAUCAUAGUGGCGCACGGGUGCGUAACACGUAUGCAACCUACCUAUUAUUGGGGGAUAGCCUUUGGAAACGGAGAUUAAUACCGCAUAAUACGAUUGACUGGCAUCGGUUGACUGUUAAAGCUUUGGCGAUAAUAGAUGGGCAUGCGUCCAAUUAGUUAGUUGGUUAGGUAACGGCUGACCAAGACGAUGAUUGGUAGGGGAUCUGAGAGGAUAAUCCCCCACACUGGCACUGAGAUACGGGCCAGACUCCUACGGGAGGCAGCAGUAGGGAAUAUUGGGCAAUGGGCGGAAGCCUGACCCAGCCAUGCCGCGUGCAGGAAGAAGGCGUUAUGCGUUGUAAACUGCUUUUUUAUAGGAAGAAGGAUCCCUUGCGAGGGAAGGUGACGGUACUAUAAGAAUAAGCACCGGCUAACUCCGUGCCUGCAGCCGCGGUAAUACGGAGGGUGCAAGCGUUGUCCGGAUUUAUUGGGUUUAAAGGGUGCGUAGGCGGUUUAUUAAGUCAGUGGUGAAAGACGGUCGCUCAACGAUUGCAGUGCCAUUGAUACUGGUAGACUUGAGUGAGAUUGAGGUAGCUGGAAUGGAUAGUGUAGCGGUGAAAUGCAUAG
Molecule: ribosomal RNA, 629 nt
Filed under: uncultured bacterium
Lineage: Bacteria
Description: bacterial SSU rRNA
Rfam family: Bacterial small subunit ribosomal RNA
Source: RNAcentral